CUCUCUUUCCAUAUAGUCUACCAUAUACAUGUUAGGACCAUUUUCCAUCUCUCCUCCUUCACUGCAUCAACAUCUCUAUUCUAGCUUCUUAGCACUUCUUUAAUUUUCCUAGGUUUCACCCAAAAAUAAUAAAGGCGUAAGCAGUCUGUCUUGAUCUUCUGUAUAUUUCUCUGUUUGCCUUCAAAACACCUCUGAUUCCUCUCUUUCCUUAUAGUCCACCAUAUACAUGUUGGGACCAUUUUCCAUCUCUCCUCCUUCACUGCAUCAACAUCUCUAUUCCAGCUUCUUAGCACUUCUUUAAUUCUCCCAGGUUUCAGCCAUAUGAUCUUCCUCUCUUAUGGAUGAAAUUUGCCACAGCUGGUCUAUCCAUUUGCAGUGUAAGAAGAGGUGAUUGACCGUCUCAACCUGUU
Molecule: long non-coding RNA, 410 nt
Filed under: Solanum tuberosum (potato)
Lineage: Eukaryota; Viridiplantae; Streptophyta; Magnoliopsida; Solanales; Solanaceae
Description: long non-coding RNA (STUB_LNC008361)
Source: RNAcentral